CAGAGUUCAUGCCCUAACGGGUAGAUCUCCCACCCUGUGUUAUUAUCACCUUUGUUGCUUUGGCGGGCCGCCAGGCUCCGGCCAGGCUACCGGCUCCGGCUGGUACGCGCCCGCCAGAGGACCCCCAACCCUGAAUGUUAGUGUCGUCUGAGUACUAUAUAAUAGUUA
RNAcentral lists this unclassified non-coding RNA (168 nucleotides) under uncultured Leptodontidium. RNAcentral describes it as "sequence contains ITS1". The record is from RNAcentral. Lineage: Eukaryota; Fungi; Ascomycota.